UACGGAGGGUGCAAGCGUUAUCCGGAUUCACUGGGGUUAAAGGGUGCGUAGGUGGGCAGGUAAGUCAGUGGUGAAAUCUCCGGGCUUAACCCGGAAACUGCCGUUGAUACUAUUUGUCUUGAAUAUAGUGGAGGUGAGCGGAAUAUGUCAUGUAGCGGUGAAAUGCUUAGAUAUGACAUAGAACACCAAUUGCGAAGGCAGCUUGCUAGACUAUUAUUGACACUGAGGCACGAAAGCGUGGGGAUCAAACAGG
This 253-nucleotide ribosomal RNA is filed under the name uncultured bacterium. RNAcentral's name for it is "partial 16S ribosomal RNA". It matches the Rfam family "Bacterial small subunit ribosomal RNA", at positions 524 to 776 of the family's 1533-position model. The record is from RNAcentral.